GCACGGAUGAUGAGACCCAACCAGGUCGAAACAGCUGUCCAGUGC
Molecule: non-coding RNA, 45 nt
Filed under: Echinostoma caproni
Lineage: Eukaryota; Metazoa; Platyhelminthes; Trematoda; Plagiorchiida; Echinostomatidae
Source: RNAcentral